This 253-nucleotide ribosomal RNA is filed under the name uncultured bacterium. RNAcentral's name for it is "partial 16S ribosomal RNA". It matches the Rfam family "Bacterial small subunit ribosomal RNA", at positions 524 to 776 of the family's 1533-position model. The record is from RNAcentral.
UACGGGGGGGGCAAGCGUUGUUCGGAAUUACUGGGCGUAAAGGGCUCGUAGGCGGCCAACUAAGUCAGACGUGAAAUCCCUCGGCUUAACCGGGGAACUGCGUCUGAUACUGGAUGGCUUGAGUUUGGGAGAGGGAUGCGGAAUUCCAGGUGUAGCGGUGAAAUGCGUAGAUAUCUGGAGGGACACCGGUGGCGAAGGCGGCAUCCUGGACCAACACUGACGCUGAGGAGCGAAAGCCAGGGGAGCAAACGGG